This 377-nucleotide ribosomal RNA is filed under the name uncultured bacterium. RNAcentral describes it as "bacterial SSU rRNA". It matches the Rfam family "Bacterial small subunit ribosomal RNA", at positions 523 to 898 of the family's 1533-position model. The record is from RNAcentral.
AUACGUAGGGGGCGAGCGUUGUCCGGAAUUACUGGGCGUAAAGCGCAUGUAGGCGGCCUGUUAAGUCAGGUGUGAAAACUGACGGCUCAACCGUGAGAUUGCACAUGAAACUGGCAGGCUUGAGGGCAGGAGAGGAGAGCGGAAUUCCUAGUGUAGCGGUGAAAUGCGUAGAUAUUAGGAGGAACACCAGUGGCGAAGGCGGCUCUCUGGACUGAACCUGACGCUGAGGUGCGAAAGCUAGGGUAGCGAACGGGAUUAGAUACCCCGGUAGUCCUAGCCGUAAACGAUGGGCACUAGGUGUAGGAGGUAUCGACCCCUUCGGUGCCGGAGCAAACGCAAUAAGUGCCCCGCCUGGGGAGUACGGCCGCAAGGCUGAA